Molecule: long non-coding RNA, 214 nt
Filed under: Lathyrus oleraceus (garden pea)
Lineage: Eukaryota; Viridiplantae; Streptophyta; Magnoliopsida; Fabales; Fabaceae
Description: Pisum sativum (pea) long non-coding RNA (PSAT_LNC012860)
Source: RNAcentral
UUUCUUUUUUUUCAUCAUUUUUUUAUUGCAUUAUUUUUUUGAAAAUAAACAUGCUAUGAUGCAAAUGAUGCAACUAUGACUGGUUGGCUGUGUAUCUCAAGGCACAGGUUCAGAACUUUGGCAUGAAUUCAGAACCGGAAAUCACAGACCAAAGUCAUCUGGAACCCAAGGUCAUCUGGAACCCAUACUUCAGAACCAAGUCACCAACAGGACC